This 118-nucleotide transfer RNA is filed under the name Clostridia bacterium. RNAcentral describes it as "tRNA-OTHER". It matches the Rfam family "tRNA". Rfam says of the family: Transfer RNA (tRNA) molecules are approximately 80 nucleotides in length. Their secondary structure includes four short double-helical elements and three loops (D, anti-codon, and T loops). Further hydrogen bonds mediate the characteristic L-shaped molecular structure. tRNAs have two regions of fundamental functional importance: the anti-codon, which is responsible for specific mRNA codon recognition, and the 3' end, to which the tRNAs corresponding amino acid is attached (by aminoacyl-tRNA synthetases). tRNAs cope with the degeneracy of the genetic code in two manners: having more than one tRNA (with a specific anti-codon) for a particular amino acid; and 'wobble' base-pairing, i.e. permitting non-standard base-pairing at the 3rd anti-codon position. The record is from RNAcentral. Lineage: Bacteria; Bacillati; Bacillota; Clostridia.
GUAGGAAUAGUUCAAUUGAUAGAACAUUUUGAAGCUGCUUUUAAAGCGUAAUUUGGAAGGAACUGAUCAAUCCUCCCUUUGCUUCAAAAAGAUGCAGGUUUGAAUCCUGCUUCCUACU